AAUAUAUUAUGUUAUCUAUAACUAGUACACUGUGAGACGUUCACUUUAUGGCAACAGGGAGAGGUCAACUGUGGUUGAUCACAUAAGAGAUGCCAAGUUGUUUAACAUUGCUGUUGAUGCAGAGAAGAAAAAACAACUUGAAUUGGAGCUGCAGGACAUCAGUCAUCAAAUACAACAAAAAUCAGAAGAGUACAAAAAUUUGAGUGAGAGGGAGAGGUCUUUGCAGAAGGAAUUAGAAGCAAUGAGAACUGAAAAGGUUUGUCGCUAUGUACUGUAGACCUGCACAUUU
Orbicella faveolata is the source of this 289-nucleotide long non-coding RNA. The record is from RefSeq and is a predicted model, not a curated record. Lineage: Eukaryota; Metazoa; Cnidaria; Anthozoa; Scleractinia; Merulinidae.